AAUCAACGCUGGCGGCGUGCCUCAGACAUGCAAGUCGAACGCGAAAGUCCCCUUCGGGGGGCAAGUAGAGUGGCGCACGGGUGAGUAACACGUAGGUAAUCUACCUUUGGAUGGGGAAUAACAAUCGGAAACGAUUGCUAAUACCGCAUAAUGCAGCGGCACCUAAUGGUGACAGUUGUUAAAGCGGGGGAUCGAAAGACCUCGCGUCUGAAGAGGAGCCUGCGGCGGAUUAGCUAGUUGGUAAGGUAAUGGCUUACCAAGGCUACGAUCCGUAACCGGCCUGAGAGGGCGGUCGGUCACACUGACACUGACAUACGGGUCAGACUCCUACGGGAGGCAGCAGUCGGGAAUUUUGGGCAAUGGGCGAAAGCCUGACCCAGCAACGCCGCGUGAAGGAUGAAAUCCCUCGGGAUGUAAACUUCGCAAGUACGGGAAGAAUAAGUAGGGGACAAUACCCCCUAUGAUGACGGUACCGUUUGUAAGCUCCGGCUAACUCCGUGCCAGCAGCCGCGGUAAUACGGGGGGAGCAAGCGUUGUUCGGAUUUACUGGGCGUAAAGGGCGCGUAGGCGGCCAGCACAAGUCAGUUGUGAAAUCUCCGAGCUUAACUCGGAAAGGUCAACUGAUACUGUGCGGCUAGAGUGCGGAAGGGGCAACUGGAAUUCUUGGUGUAGCGGUGAAAUGCGUAGAUAUCAAGAGGAACACCUGCGGCGAAGGCGGGUUGCUGGGCCGACACUGACGCUGAGGCGCGAAAGCUAGGGGAGCGAACGGGAUUAGAUACCCCGGUAGUCCUAGCCUUAAACGAUGAAUGCUUGGUGUCUGGGGUUAUAAAGUCCCCGGGUGCCGUCGCUAACGCUUUAAGCAUUCCGCCUGGGGAGUACGG
Molecule: ribosomal RNA, 881 nt
Filed under: uncultured bacterium
Lineage: Bacteria
Description: bacterial SSU rRNA
Rfam family: Bacterial small subunit ribosomal RNA
Source: RNAcentral